GUUUGGGGGGGGGGUGGGUGGGGUGGCGGUGGUGUUGCGGGGUGAAGGAUGUGGGAGGUUUUGGCGGGAACGGUGGAAAUUUGUUGUUAUGUUGUUAACUAACAAGGCAAUUUUUUAUGUAGUAGUGCAUUUUUUGUAUAUCAGCUGCUUCUUGAGAUUGGCGAAAACUUUAACAAAUCAUAACAUUAAUUUUUUUGGUUGAAGGAUUUAAGAAAUGUGAAUCUGCUUUUAUUCCCCUUCCAAUUAGAUGCUCAAAAUUCAUGUUCAUUAGUCCACAAAAUGGCUUCUCAGAAAAGGAUUUGAAAUUGGCUGUUCACUUCCAGGCACCAGUUUCAAAGGAGGGUUUCGGUUUUCAUAAAUAAGAUGACCUCUCCUCUAUCUCUCUAUUUGAUAUCCUCUCUUCCAUCGCGAAGUGCGGCAUUAGUGGCGUAUUCCUGGCAGAUUAACAACAAACAGCAGCUCAGCUUGGGAUUGCCUAAUAAUUCGGGGGACAAAAAAGAUCAGCUUGUGUUUGGAG
This 517-nucleotide unclassified non-coding RNA is filed under the name Hevea brasiliensis (rubber tree). The record is from RNAcentral. Lineage: Eukaryota; Viridiplantae; Streptophyta; Magnoliopsida; Malpighiales; Euphorbiaceae.